CAGUAGCCGCGGUAAUGCGGAGGGGGCUAGCGUUAUUCGGAAUUACUGGGCGUAAAGCGCACGUAGGCGGAUCAGAAAGUCAGAGGUGAAAUCCCAGGGCUCAACCUUGGAACUGCCUUUGAAACUCCUGAUCUUGAGGUCGAGAGAGGUGAGUGGAAUUCCGAGUGUAGAGGUGAAAUUCGUAGAUAUUCGGAGGAACACCAGUGGCGAAGGCGGCUCACUGGCUCGAUACUGACGCUGAGGUGCGAAAGCGUGGGGAGCAAACAGGAUUAGAUACCCCAGUAGUCCCUGUCUCUUAUAA
Molecule: ribosomal RNA, 301 nt
Filed under: uncultured bacterium
Lineage: Bacteria
Description: partial 16S ribosomal RNA
Rfam family: Bacterial small subunit ribosomal RNA
Source: RNAcentral